Molecule: RNA transcript, 1440 nt
Organism: Mus pahari (shrew mouse)
Lineage: Eukaryota; Metazoa; Chordata; Mammalia; Rodentia; Muridae
Gene name: mitogen-activated protein kinase 3-like
Exons: 4
Source: RefSeq, a predicted model, not a curated record
AUGACCAUCGUCAGUGUCCCAUUCCGGCUUCCUUCAUCUGUUAAUGUCAGCUCGGUGAAGUGGACCCAGGCACUCAAGCUGGACCAAGCCUGUCUUCACAGCCCCGGGCUCCGGGAACAACUCCCAUUCUCUCAGCCAGUGUGGUCCACUAGAGACACUGUGACUGCACAGCGCUGCCGAUUUUCCUGUGGUGAGAAACUGGACGAUGUGAGUUCUCCCUUUGGAGUGGCAGGCCCGUGGACAGGCCGAGUCUUAGAACAGUGUGGCAGUGUGGCAGUUGCUGUGGUCACUGUGUUUCUUCACAGCACAGAAACCCUCGCUAAGAUAUUAGCCACAGGAGGCGGGAGGAGUGGAGAUGGCGGCCGAGACUGCGGAGGUGGUGGUGGCAGCAGGGGCAGGGAGCCCAGGGGAACUGCUGGGCUCGUUUCGGUGGCCCCAGAGGAGGUGGAGGUGGUGAAGGCGCAGCCGCUCGACAUGGGCCCACGCUACACGUAGCUGCAGUACAUCAGCGAGGGCGUGUACGGCAUGGUCAACUCAGUUUAUGAUCACGUGCGCAAGACCAGAGUGGCCAUCAAGAUCAGCCCCUCUGAGCAUCAAACCUACUGUCAGCGCACACGGAGGGAGAUCCAGAUCUUGCUGCGAUUCCGCCAUGAGAAUGUCACAGGCAUCCGAGACAUCCUCAGAGCGCCCAUCCUGGAAGCCAUGAUAGACGCUUACACUGUCCAGGACCUCAUGGAGACAGACCUGUGCAAGCUGCUUAAGAGCCAGCCGCCGAGCACGCCGAGCAGUGACCACACCUGCUGCAUCCUCUCCCAGAUCCUCCGGGGCCUCAAAUACAUACCCGCAGCCAAAGUGCUGCACCAGGACCUGAACCCUCCUAUCUGCUUAUCAAUACCACCUGCGACCUUAAGAUGUGUGAUUUUGGCCGGGCCCGGAUUGCUGACCCUGAGCAUGGCCACACUGGCUUUCUGAUGGAGUACAUGGCCACGCACUGGUUCUGAGCCCCAGAGAUCAUGCUUAACUCCAAGGGCUAUCCCAAAUCCACUGACACCUGGCCUAUGGGCUGCAUUCUGUCCUCCCCAGCAAGCACUACCUGGACCGGCCCAACCACAUUCUAGUAUCCUGGGUUCCCCAUCCCAGGAGGACCUUAACUGUAUCAUUGAACUCUGCUCAACUCAGACCCCGGAAACCCAGGCUGGACCAAGGGUAUGCCUGGCCGCCUUCUCUCACUGUGCUGGUGUCUCCUGCUUCAAGCAGGCUUCUCCUACUCCAAUCCCCUGCCCGAUCUCCCCAUGGCCCCGUGAUGAGGUGGCCCCAGAGCUGAUCUCUGCUGCCGUGUCUUUAUCUACCCUUGCUAGCCUCGGCUGUGGUAGACCAUUUUGGAAUGGAGGGGCUAUGACCACUCUAGGACCUGUGCUACGGAGGGGUGGAGGGCCCUGA